Molecule: ribosomal RNA, 2917 nt
Filed under: Aeromonas veronii
Lineage: Bacteria; Pseudomonadati; Pseudomonadota; Gammaproteobacteria; Aeromonadales; Aeromonadaceae
Description: 23S ribosomal RNA
Rfam family: Bacterial large subunit ribosomal RNA
Source: RNAcentral
GUUGUAUGGUUAAGUGACUAAGCGUACAUGGUGGAUGCCUUGGCAGUCAGAGGCGAUGAAGGACGUACUAACCUGCGAUAAGCUGUGAGAAGUCGGUAAGAGACGCUAUUACUCACAGAUUUCCGAAUGGGGAAACCCACCCGAGAUAACUCGGGUAUCUGUUACUGAAUACAUAGGUAACAGAGGCGAACCGGGAGAACUGAAACAUCUAAGUACCCCGAGGAAAAGAAAUCAACCGAGAUUCCCUCAGUAGCGGCGAGCGAACGGGGAUUAGCCCUUAAGCAUCUUGGAAGUUAGUGGAACGGUCCUGGAAAGGCCGGCGAUACAGGGUGAUAGCCCCGUACACGAAAACAACCUUGAUGUGAAUCGAGUAGGGCGGGACACGUGACAUCCUGUCUGAAUAUGGGGGGACCAUCCUCCAAGGCUAAAUACUCCUGACUGACCGAUAGUGAACCAGUACCGUGAGGGAAAGGCGAAAAGAACCCCUGUGAGGGGAGUGAAAUAGAACCUGAAACCGUGUACGUACAAGCAGUGGGAGCCCUUCGGGGUGACUGCGUACCUUUUGUAUAAUGGGUCAGCGACUUACAUUUUGUAGCGAGGUUAACCGUAUAGGGGAGCCGUAGGGAAACCGAGUCUUAACUGGGCGUCUAGUUGCAAGGUGUAGACCCGAAACCGGGUGAUCUAGCCAUGGGCAGGUUGAAGGUUGAGUAACAUCAACUGGAGGACCGAACCCACUAACGUUGCAAAGUUAGGGGAUGACCUGUGGCUGGGGGUGAAAGGCCAAUCAAACUCGGAGAUAGCUGGUUCUCCCCGAAAGCUAUUUAGGUAGCGCCUCGGACGAAUACUACUGGGGGUAGAGCACUGUUUGGGCUAGGGGGUCAUCCCGACUUACCAACCCCAUGCAAACUCCGAAUACCAGUAAGUAAUAUCCGGGAGACACACGGCGGGUGCUAACGUCCGUCGUGAAGAGGGAAACAACCCAGACCGCCGGCUAAGGUCCCAAAGUUCUGGUUAAGUGGGAAACGAUGUGGGAAGGCUCAGACAGCUAGGAUGUUGGCUUAGAAGCAGCCAUCAUUUAAAGAAAGCGUAAUAGCUCACUAGUCGAGUCGGCCUGCGCGGAAGAUGUAACGGGGCUCAAACCAGGCACCGAAGCCGCGGAUUCACACUUAUGUGUGAGUGGUAGGGGAGCGUUCUGUAAGUCUGCGAAGGUGUAUCGAGAGGUAUGCUGGAGAUAUCAGAAGUGCGAAUGCUGACGUAAGUAACGAUAAAGGGGGUGAAAAGCCUCCUCGCCGGAAGACCAAGGGUUCCUGUCCAACGUUAAUCGGGGCAGGGUGAGUCGACCCCUAAGGCGAGGCCGAAAGGCGUAGUCGAUGGGAAGCAGGUUAAUAUUCCUGCACGACUUGUAAUUGCGAUGGGGGGACGGAGAAGGCUAGGUGGGCCAGGCGACGGUUGUCCUGGUGAAAGUGCGUAGGUGGUGUUUCUAGGCAAAUCCGGAGACACAACACUGAGACACGAGACGAACACACUACGGUGUGGAAGCCAUUGAUGCCCUGCUUCCAGGAAAAGCCUCUAAGCUUCAGAUUACAAGUCAUCGUACCCCAAACCGACACAGGUGGUCGGGUAGAGAAUACCAAGGCGCUUGAGAGAACUCGGGUGAAGGAACUAGGCAAAAUAGAACCGUAACUUCGGGAGAAGGUUCGCUCUUGACAGUGAAGUCCCUUGCGGAUGGAGCAGUUGGGAGUCGCAGUGACCAGAUGGCUGGGACUGUUUAUCAAAAACACAGCACUCUGCAAACACGAAAGUGGACGUAUAGGGUGUGACACCUGCCCGGUGCCGGAAGGUUAAUUGAUGGGGUUAGCGCAAGCGAAGCUCUUGAUCGAAGCCCCGGUAAACGGCGGCCGUAACUAUAACGGUCCUAAGGUAGCGAAAUUCCUUGUCGGGUAAGUUCCGACCUGCACGAAUGGUGUAACCAUGGCCAUGCUGUCUCCACCCGAGACUCAGUGAAAUCGAAUUCGCCGUGAAGAUGCGGUGUACCCGCGGCUAGACGGAAAGACCCCGUGAACCUUUACUACAGCUUGGCACUGAACAUUGAACCUACAUGUGUAGGAUAGGUGGGAGGCUUUGAAGGCGUGACGCCAGUUGCGCUGGAGCCGUCCUUGAAAUACCACCCUUGUAUGUUUGAUGUUCUAACGCAGGGCCCUGAAUCGGGCUCGCGGACAGUGCCUGGUGGGUAGUUUGACUGGGGCGGUCUCCUCCCAAAGAGUAACGGAGGAGCACGAAGGUUGGCUAAUCCUGGUCGGACAUCAGGAGGUUAGUGCAAUGGCAUAAGCCAGCUUAACUGCGAGACGGACAGGUCGAGCAGGUACGAAAGUAGGUCAUAGUGAUCCGGUGGUUCUGAAUGGAAGGGCCAUCGCUCAACGGAUAAAAGGUACUCCGGGGAUAACAGGCUGAUACCGCCCAAGAGUUCAUAUCGACGGCGGUGUUUGGCACCUCGAUGUCGGCUCAUCACAUCCUGGGGCUGAAGUCGGUCCCAAGGGUAUGGCUGUUCGCCAUUUAAAGUGGUACGCGAGCUGGGUUCAGAACGUCGUGAGACAGUUCGGUCCCUAUCUGCCGUGGGCGUUGGAUGAUUGAAGGGAGUUGCUCCUAGUACGAGAGGACCGGAGUGAACGAACCUCUGGUGUUCGGGUUGUCACGCCAGUGGCACUGCCCGGUAGCUAAGUUCGGAAUCGAUAACCGCUGAAAGCAUCUAAGCGGGAAGCGAGCCCUGAGAUGAGUCAUCCCUGACCCCUUGAGGGUUCUAAAGGGCCGUUGGAGACCACAACGUUGAUAGGUGGGGUGUGUAAGCGCGGCGACGUGUUGAGCUAACCCAUACUAAUUACCCGUGAGGCUUAACCAUACAACACCCAAGAAGUGUUCU